UGUCCUGUAGCUCAAUUGGCAGAGCGCCGCUCUCUGAAAGCGGAUGUUGCUGGUUCAAGCCCAGCCGGGACAGCCA
Molecule: transfer RNA, 76 nt
Filed under: Nitrosomonadaceae bacterium
Lineage: Bacteria; Pseudomonadati; Pseudomonadota; Betaproteobacteria; Nitrosomonadales; Nitrosomonadaceae
Description: tRNA-Gln
Rfam family: tRNA
About the family: Transfer RNA (tRNA) molecules are approximately 80 nucleotides in length. Their secondary structure includes four short double-helical elements and three loops (D, anti-codon, and T loops).
Source: RNAcentral